AUAUUUUCUACCAAAUUAAAUUAGAAGACAAAAUUGUGCUCUCAUAGUUGCUCCAAAGAUUAAUAAUUAAAAAAUGUUUUAGCCUUUAGGCUACAGACUCCCGCCUGCCGCCAUGGCAGAGUUGGGCCUAAAUAGCACCAUCAAAAUGAAGUUAUUAAUUAUAUGCGAUUUGCUUGUUCAAAGAGGGGCUUGAGACUCAAAACUGUAGAUUCCUGCUUCCAAGACCUCAAGGAGAGCAGGCUGGUGGAGGAGACCUUCACCAUAGAUGAAGUCUCUGAAGUCCUGAGUGGCUUACAGGCUGUGGUUCACAGUGAGGUGGAGUCUGAGCUCAUCAAUACUGCCUACACCAAUGUGUCACUUCUGCGGCAGCUGUUUUCACAAGCUGAAAAGUGGUACCUUAAACUGCAGACAGACAUCUCUGAACUCGAAAACAGAGAAUUAUUAGAACAAAUUGCAGAAUUUGAAAAAGCAGAAUUCACAUCUUCAAAUAAAAAGCCUGUCAUAGAGACCAUAAAAGCCCCAACUUGUUCCACUUAAUGAAGGUGGAACAACAGAACUCCUAAACAAGGAAAUGUCAAGACUUCAAGAAGAGAAUGAGAAGUUAAAGUCAAGGCUGAAGACCAUAGAAUCACAGGCUACAAAUGCACUGGAUGAGAAAUCAAAACUAGAAAGAGCACUGCAAGAUUUAUAGCUCGAUCAAGGAAAUCAAAAGGAUUUUAUAAAGGCCCAAGACUUGAGUGACUUGGAAAACACAGUUGCUGCUUUAAAGAGUGAGUUUCAGAAGACACUUGAUGACAAGACAGAAAACCAGAAGUCACUGGAGGAGAAUCUGGCAACAGCCAAGCAUGAUCUACUCAGGGUUCAGGAGCAGCUGAGAAUGGCCGAAAAGGAAUUAGAGAAGAAAUUUCAACAAACAGCUGCUUCUCGAAACAUGAAAGAAAUUCUUACCAAGAAGAAUGACCAAAUCAAAGACCUACGGAAAAGACUGGCAAAAUAUGAACCUGAAGAUUAAAAACUGAAGAUGUCAUCUCAAAGCUGCCACAAUAUGAACAUAUAAGCUCUCUCACCUCAGGCAUGUAUUUUGAAGCAUUUUGUCAUAUUUCCUCUCCGUAUUUUUCUAAUAUUUGGAUUUUGCUUCUAAUAUUUAGCACUAGAGUUCUUACUUUCAGUUGUCUAAUUGAGAAUAGAGAAAACCCCGUGAUUCUGGCCGGUAGUCCCACACACCUGUCUG
Microcebus murinus (gray mouse lemur) is the source of this 1231-nucleotide non-coding RNA. The record is from RefSeq and is a predicted model, not a curated record. NCBI's taxonomy places the organism in Eukaryota, Metazoa, Chordata, Mammalia, Primates, Cheirogaleidae.